Lynx canadensis (Canada lynx) is the source of this 294-nucleotide long non-coding RNA. RefSeq lists it as uncharacterized. The record is from RefSeq and is a predicted model, not a curated record. NCBI's taxonomy places the organism in Eukaryota, Metazoa, Chordata, Mammalia, Carnivora, Felidae. The transcript is spliced from 4 exons.
GGCGCCCUCCCUCGAGCUGCCGGUCGGGCACGCUUGCGGGCGUGCGGAGCGCUACCAGAAAACAUUGUGGAACCUUCUGGACAAGGGGAUGCAAAGAAGGAAAAGCCAAGUGGAGUGUGGGCACACGCAGACCACCCCGAUGGUGUUGAUUUCCAUGACUUAAAUCAUUCAAUCCAGAACUGGUCCCCACUUCCCUAAGUCCUCCACAGAACCAUGGAACACAAGCCCCAAUGUAAAGAGACUCCUAUGAAGACUUCCCCUAGGAGGCUUCAUGCCCAGUGCAGAGUCCAAGAU